GGUAACUUCGUAUUCACCGUUAGGUUAUUGGAUCUCCCUAUUUGCAUGUAGUAGAGGCUGUGUUCAGUUGCCAUGGGAACCCAGACAGGCCAGAAGGAUGACAACAGGCAAUGGAGGGAUGGUGAGAGCUGGAAGAAACUCAACUGUCCCCCACAACAUGGCAAGCAGUAACACUGAUGUGGGACACAUAUUGGUCAAGGUUCAAGAGGAUCUUCAAGAGCUGAAAGAGGAAAUCUCACACAUCACAAUACAUGGUGAAACCGCAACAGUGGACAUUCAAACACUUGAAACAGCCAUUCGUAGGACUGAAAUGGGCCUAAAGAGUCAUGCAGCAGAAUACCUUAAUGUAAUCAAUAACCAAGUGUUGACCCUUCCUGCUUUGGAAUACAAAGAUAUGUCAGCUGCACACACUUUACCUGCUCCUAUUUCAAUGGGUGUCAACAAAAUAAUAAAGAAGCCUGUUGUCUACCCAUCUUUGAACAAAAAGUACCAUGGUAUCCAGCUAUGGAAUGCACCUGAAUAUAUCUCCCCUGGAACACAACACAAGCAUGCCAUGGAUAUGAGGAUUUUACGUGAUCCCACCAAUCCAAAGAACAGAAAUCUUUUACACCAGAACUAUGGGAUUCAGCUUCCUCUUAUUAAGAAUGAAAUACCUGAUAUACCUCCUCAAAAACUUAUUAAAGGUUCUACAGUGGGUACACUUGCCAUUUUGCCUGUUUCCCACCGUGAAAAUCCAUCACUCCUUCCUCCAUUUGUAUCUGAAAAAGAUGCAAGAAAAGGUAUUCUGAGUUUGAUUGAACGAGGUUUAAUUCCUCCAGCAUCUGAGCUGACUGUUGAUCCACCUUUUGUCCAAAACAGAGCAGCAAAGAUUCAUGAUAUUCAAGAGAAGCAUAGGAAACCAUCUCCUGAAAUAUUUGGUACUUACCCCAAAAAUUCUUACUGUAUAGUCGUUAGUGAGUCAUACACAGAGGAAAAAAAGUAUCCAGACAAGAACCCAGAGUCCAGGCUGCCUUUAAAGAUGGGCACUGUUACUCCUGCUCCUUCAUUCAUGUCCAGGACAUCAGCUAAGGACAUCAGUGCAGUUCAACACCUGCGUGGUAAAGAAAUGGUGCCCUUUGAAUUUCAUCAGCCAAAGCAGUUUCAAGUGUUGCCAAUUCAUCGGACCCAAGAAUUUUCAGAAACUUUCUAUGUUACAAUUUUCAAUGGCAAAAUAGAUUAUACUGCUCCAGACAUCCUGGUUUUCAAGCACCAUUACCAGUUAUACUGGGGACACAUCUUGUCCUUUCUGGAAUAUCUUGGGAGGAAACUAAGACAGUACGAUGUGCCAGUUGCCAUUGUAGAAGGUCAGAAGUUGGCAGAGAUUUCAGCUAUCUUUGAACUUAAUUCACAGCCCAACUGGAAGGACCUGCUUCCUGUGGUGAAAAAUAAAGAAUUGGUGGAAGAGAUCAUCAAGCGUCCAGGCCAGCAGUACAGAGGGCCAGAUGGCUUGGAAAUCGCAGCUACAAAAAUCCAGGCUAUCUGGAGGCAGUACCAGUGCAAGACCAAGUACCUCAUAGCUCGUCGCCAGAAGUGGGCAGCAGGUGUUAUUUCCAUCUCGUGGCUCAUGCGCGCUCAAAGGGUGCGGGUGAAGAAGACCCUAAAGCAGUCACGUCAGAGACACCUGGAAAAUUUUCACAGCAGGGCCAAGCAUCUGGCAGCCAACUGGAAUCGCAUCAAGGCCUCCAGGAGAACUAUUAUCCACAUCCCAUCAUUAGGGUAUGCCCAGUCAUUGCGAUCAUCUGUGCCCAAUAUAGAUACUCAACAGAACCUACAGAUGGGAAGGUUAUGUGACAUCAGGGAUGACAAUAUAGAUGUUAUCUAUAUUUGCCCCCUUUGGAUUGGUAAGGAUGUGACCCAAUACUACAUGAAACUACUUGGACUACAAGAAGCCAUCAAAACAGGGCAACCUGAGAAUGUAAUGAACGUGGAGGAUCGUCUCAAAGUCAUGACUCCUGAGGCAAUAAGCCGUUUUCCUAACCACCACUUGUGCCUGGCCACUCAUCUGAAAUACAGUCCCAAGACAAUAAAACGAAUAAAAAAUCUCAUUGAAGGCAAGGCUGCAUACAUCGUUGGCGGGCUGCUACACAAGGAUGACUUAGCUGUUGCAGAUAUGCUAAAUGUACCAAUUCUAGGCCCAGAGCCGGAAGUGGCCCAUCUGUACAGUAGCAAGUCUGGAAGCAAAAGAAUCUUUGCGAGUGCUACUGUGCCAGUGCCACCUGGGGAAUAUGAUAUAUACAGUCUUCAGCAGAUGCAUGAAGUUCUAACUCAACUUAUUCUCGAAAAUCUGGAAAUUAAGCGUUGGCUGUUCAAACUGGAUGUUGAAUUUGGCGGGAGAGGCACUGCAUAUUUUGAUGUCUUGCAUCUGAAGUGUUAUAAGCCGAUUCUGAAGGAAUUUAGGGAAAUUGGUCCUGCAGUAUGGCUUAAGAAGAAAUGGAUUCAGGAACCUGCUGAGUUGAAGUUAUCAAAGGAGUUGCCUGGAAUUUUGGCAGUGCAUGCACAACCAGUUAAUAAGAACAUAUUCCCAACAUGGGAGAAGUUCUUAGAGAUGUUCCUCUGUCAAGGUGGUGUGGUUGAGGCAUACCCUCCCUCAGACAGUGUUACCAACCUCACCAUUGACAUGCUCAUAGAACCAACAGGAGAGGUAUCAAUGGUUUCUUGUGGGGAUCAGAUCCAUUCCAAUAGCCCACUAGAAUGUUGGGGCACCACCGUACCACAAUGCUCUGUGGAUCCAGGCAACCUGCACUCGGUGUGUAUAAAGAUCGCUGAGGCCUGUAAAUGUAGAGGAGUGAUAGGCUUCUUCUCAAUUGACCUGGUGACCUUCAUACAUCCACUUACAAUGGAGCAGCAGGUCUGGGCCACAGACUUAGACCUGGCCUACAGUGACCAACUGGCCAUGACACAACUGAUGCUGUUCAUAUCUAACGGGAAGCUGAUCUGCAAAACCAAUACCUUCGAGGUGUCUCCCAAGCCCAGGGAGAAAAGGCAAACAUCACACAGGAAAGGAUCGGCGAUGAAAGAAGAAACACAAAUUCAACUUCCUUUUAUGAAACGUUACGGAGUGUUAAGCACACAGCUGAAACAUACCAAUUUAUCCAUCGUCCACUACAGUGUACUCUUCAAGAUUUUUAAAGUUCACGGGAUCGGUUUUGAUAUUAAGGAAAGACAAGGGACAGUAUUUAUACUUCAUGAAGAUAAUAAGAAGGAUCGCUUGGGGAUGGUAACAAUCGGGGAAGAUCUCCAGGGGGCUCUGCUGACCUUUGCUCGUAAUCUCUCUGUCAUUCAUCAGGAAAUAACAGCACCUAAUAUGCAAUUGGAGAACAAUUUUCAGGCGGCGAUCAAAGACAUUGAGUUAAUCCUUGGAGUUACAGUAGUGAACAAGUCCUACAUUAAAGAAGAUCACUCAACCACUGCAUUAAAGGCUCUAACUUGAAGAUCCUAAUUCAGAGAAACUGUAGCUAUGUACCAACAUUCUGGAUUACCUCAGCUCCAAUUCCAACUUUGUCACACUGGGAUGCUGGCCUACUGUCAAUGAUUCCAAAAAAAACCUGCAAUAUUAUUCAAUCAUUUUUUAAAUAUAGUUGGACCUAUAGAAGUAUGGAAGGAGUCCAAGAACAUCUGCUUUUCACAUCAGAUUAUUCUGAAAAUGAUCGUUAGCUCAAAGUCACAAUUAAAAUGUUCAAGAUGAGUUAAAAAGGACACAUUUUCCAUAUGUUGCCAGGCCUGCUGAAUUUCUCCAGCACUUUCUGUUCCUAAAUCGACUUUCCCUGAUCCCAGGAGCCAUAACGGAACUGCGACGAACUUAUCUUAAUUUUACUCAUUUUUAUUAUUAUGUAUGACUUCCAUCAUUGAUGUGUGCCAUGGUGAGGCAACUUAUAAAACUUUUCACUGUAUUUUUCAUGUAAAAGUACACGUGACAAUAAAUUUCUAUACUAUUCUAUUUUUAUUUCAGGUUUCCAGCAUCCAGAUUAUUCUACUUUUAUUUUGCCAUAAUGACUGACCUGUUUGGUGGACUCAAGAAACAAUAUUAGCAUUUAAUUUUAUAAGUUUUUUUUAUCAUUUAUUCAUUCAUGGGAUGUGAGGAUUGCUGUCUUGGUCAGCAUUUAUUGCCUAUUCCAGAUUACCCUGGAAAAGGUGGUGAUGAGUUGCCUUUUUGAACUGCCGAACAAACUGAUGGAGUACACAUAGAAUCUCUUGAAGGACAGAUAAUGUCGCGAUCUAUAAUUAUUUAAAUGUCCUACUCCUUAAACCUUAAAAAAGAUCAAGCUGCAGUUGUCAGUAAGAGUUUAAAAAUUCCUGAUGUACAACCUUCACUGACAGGAGAUCUGGUGUAAGUUAGAAAUUAGCAACUGUUUACUUUCCAUACAGUUCUUUGUUCACAUUUUCUCAAGGACUUUUAUUAUGUCAUUGUAAAUGCUUGCUGGGUAAGCUACAAUUUCUCAGCAGGGAGGAACUGUGUUCAGAGCUUGGUUGACAGUUUAGCAGGGCUAUUAAAGGAUUUGUCUCUUUGAUGUGAGAUCUAAAUAGGAGCUUGUUUGUUUUUAUAAGGCAUUAACUGCAAGAGAUUUAUAAGCUUUGAAUACAUUUCAUAAAUUGAAGUCUUUUCACUAUCAAGUGUGCACAGGUAAAAGCUAUGCUGGAUUUGUAAAAUGUUAAGUUUUUUUCAUCUCCACUUGACUUCUGAAGUCCACACAUGGAGGAAACUGAGUGAAUGGUUAUGAAGGAAGUAUUUGGGUGGGUGGGCCUGGUGCUAUGACGGGAUAUGGGCAGUGAGUAGAGAGUGAGAAAGUUAACACUUGGUAAAAUGACUGGAACAUAGUCUCUGAGGUUUGAAAUGGGCCUUCCAAACUGCCCACUUUGUCAUUUGCCCACCUCCCUGGGCUGCCUACCUCUCCUGUAGCUGCUUGUUAGGUCAGUGGACUUGGCAUUAUUCUGCCCCUGCCUCUCUGAAUUGAAAACUGAACAUGUCAGGCUCUUUUGGCAAGCCAGAAGAUUUCCUGAAAUGAGCUAUCCAAAACAAUAGUGAAAAUCCAAUGCUAAGUGCUAUUAUGCGAGCAUCUAUAGCUAAAUGAAGGAUUUACAGAUCUAAGGUAGCUCAACAAGGCAACAAUGUGUGUGCCAACUGCACCAAUAGGCUCCUAAUGUUAAGAGAAAACCUGGUUACAUUCAUCGUGAUAUAAUGUUAUUUGCUGUUGACAGUCAAAUGUGGCUUACCAUUGUAUUGGAGUUAUAUUUUGCACAGUGCAGAAUAAAGAAUCUAGUUCUGUCAGCUGAAGGUAUUCAACCUCGUGUUAUAGUAUAACUGGCCUAUAGGGAAUAUUAAGUAUUAAUUGUCACAAUUAUCUUCUGUUGGUUUAAUUGUAUCUUUGUAUACUUUUACAUUGUUUGUUACCAAAAUUUUAUUUUGACACCAUGUGUAGGGAGUUUUGCUUGUGUUUCUCAAUGAUGUUAAUGGAGAAGGGGCUGUACACUUAAUGGCUGUUUCUGACAGGUCGUUCUAAAGCUAACUAUCUAAACCAGGCCUGACUGAUGUGCUUGUCAAGACUGUUAUAAUGUUCAGGCAAUUCAAACGAAUAAAGCUUUCCUACAACAACAAAUUACUGACUGAUUCAUUCAAAUGAACCUUUUCCCUGAACAGACCAAUCUAAUUACCUGUACAUUAUCGUAUGUUCUUUCACAGAAAUUCUUCCUUGAGAUUGUUAGUG
Molecule: non-coding RNA, 5741 nt
Organism: Chiloscyllium plagiosum (whitespotted bambooshark)
Lineage: Eukaryota; Metazoa; Chordata; Chondrichthyes; Orectolobiformes; Hemiscylliidae
Source: RefSeq, a predicted model, not a curated record